RNAcentral lists this ribosomal RNA (301 nucleotides) under uncultured bacterium. RNAcentral's name for it is "partial 16S ribosomal RNA". It matches the Rfam family "Bacterial small subunit ribosomal RNA", at positions 509 to 807 of the family's 1533-position model. The record is from RNAcentral.
CAGCAGCCGCGGUAAAACGGAGGGGGCUAGCGUUGUUCGGAAUUACUGGGCGUAAAGCGCACGUAGGCGGCUUGGUAAGUUAGAGGUGAAAGCCUGGAGCUCAACUCCAGAAUUGCCUUUAAGACUGCCGAGCUAGCAGGUGAGAGAGGUAAGUGGAAUUCCGAGUGUAGAGGUGAAAUUCGUAGAUAUUCGGAAGAACACCAGUGGCGAAGGCGACUAUCUGGGCCAACACUGACACUGAGACACGAAAGCGUGGGGAGCAGACAGGAUUAGAUACCCGGGUAGUCCCUGUCUCUUAUAC